This 1158-nucleotide ribosomal RNA is filed under the name Pediococcus ethanolidurans. RNAcentral describes it as "bacterial SSU rRNA". It matches the Rfam family "Bacterial small subunit ribosomal RNA", at positions 36 to 1148 of the family's 1533-position model. The record is from RNAcentral. Lineage: Bacteria; Bacillati; Bacillota; Bacilli; Lactobacillales; Lactobacillaceae.
CGUGCGGGGUGCUAUACAUGCAGUCGAACGCACUUUCGUUAAUUGAUUUUGAGAUGCUUGCAUCGAAGAUGAUUUUAACUAUAAAGUGAGUGGCGAACGGGUGAGUAACACGUGGGUAACCUGCCCAGAAGGGGGGGAUAACACCUGGAAACAGAUGCUAAUACCGCAUAACAAAAUUAACCGCAUGGUUGAUUUUUAAAAGAUGGCUUCGGCUAUCACUUCUGGAUGGACCCGCGGCGUAUUAGCUAGUUGGUGAGAUAAAGGCUCACCAAGGCAGUGAUACGUAGCCGACCUGAGAGGGUAAUCGGCCACAUUGGGACUGAGACACGGCCCAGACUCCUACGGGAGGCAGCAGUAGGGAAUCUUCCACAAUGGACGCAAGUCUGAUGGAGCAACGCCGCGUGAGUGAUGAAGGCUUUCGGGUCGUAAAACUCUGUUGUUGGAGAAGAACGUGUGUGAGAGUAACUGCUCAUGCAGUGACGGUAUCCAACCAGAAAGCCACGGCUAACUACGUGCCAGCAGCCGCGGUAAUACGUAGGUGGCAAGCGUUAUCCGGAUUUAUUGGGCGUAAAGCGAGCGCAGGCGGUCUUUUAAGUCUAAUGUGAAAGCCUUCGGCUUAACCGAAGAAGUGCAUUGGAAACUGGGAGACUUGAGUGCAGAAGAGGAGAGUGGAACUCCAUGUGUAGCGGUGAAAUGCGUAGAUAUAUGGAAGAACACCAGUGGCGAAGGCGGCUCUCUGGUCUGCAACUGACGCUGAGGCUCGAAAGCAUGGGUAGCGAACAGGAUUAGAUACCCUGGUAGUCCAUGCCGUAAACGAUGAAUGCUAAGUGUUGGAGGGUUUCCGCCCUUCAGUGCUGCAGCUAACGCAUUAAGCAUUCCGCCUGGGGAGUACGACCGCAAGGUUGAAACUCAAAAGAAUUGACGGGGGCCCGCACAAGCGGUGGAAGCAUGGUGGUUUAAUUCGAAGCUACGCGAAGAACCCUUACCAGGUCUUGACAUCUUCUGCUAACCUAAGAAGAUUAGCGUUCCCUUUCGGGGACGGAAUGACAGGUGGGGGGCAUGGGUGUCGUCAGCUCGUGUCGUGGAGAUGGUUUGGGUUAGUCCCGCACGAGCGCACCCAUAUAUAGCUGCCAGCAUUAAGUUGGGCACUUCUAGUGA